This 253-nucleotide ribosomal RNA is filed under the name uncultured bacterium. RNAcentral's name for it is "partial 16S ribosomal RNA". It matches the Rfam family "Bacterial small subunit ribosomal RNA", at positions 524 to 776 of the family's 1533-position model. The record is from RNAcentral.
UACGGGGGGGGCAAGCGUUGUUCGGAAUUACUGGGCGUAAAGGGCUCGUAGGCGGCCAACUAAGUCAGACGUGAAAUCCCUCGGCUUAACCGGGGAACUGCGUCUGAUACUGGAUGGCUAGAGGUUGGGAGAGGGAUGCGGAAUUCCAGGUGUAGCGGUGAAAUGCGUAGAUAUCUGGAGGAAUACCGGUGGCGAAGGCGGCAUCCUGGACCGACAUUGACGCUGAGGAGCGAAAGCUAGGGGAGCAAACGGG